Calypte anna (Anna's hummingbird) is the source of this 420-nucleotide non-coding RNA. The record is from the annotation of a RefSeq genome assembly. Lineage: Eukaryota; Metazoa; Chordata; Aves; Apodiformes; Trochilidae.
AUGAGGAUCUGGGCAGCUUGGUGUGUGGCCAUGUACUUCUUUGGAGCAAGAGCUAAAAUCACCCAAACUUCCAAUCUUGUUCUGAAAGAAGAUGAGAAAGCUACUCUGAUGUGCAGCCAAAAUGAUAAUCAUAAUUCUAUGUACUGGUAUUUGCAGCAGCCUGGGAAGGGGCUGCAACUGAUCUAUUAUUCACCUAGGACAAGUCAGGAGGAAGUGGGUGAUAUCCAAAAUGGAUACAAAGCUAAAAGAUUAAACCUUGAAGACUUCCAUUUGGAUAUUCCAUCUGUGAAGAUUAACCAUUCAGCUGUCUAUUUCUGUGCCAGUAGUUUGAACACAACACUUCAAAGUCACUUGCUUUCUUUACAUAAACUUCUUUUCAGCACCCUCCCUCAGAAGGGAGCAAUUCUCAGCAUUGGAUGA